UACGAAGGGGGCUAGCGUUGCUCGGAAUCACUGGGCGUAAAGCGCACGUAGGCGGAUCUUUAAGUCAGGGGUGAAAUUCUGGAGCUCAACUCCAGAACUGCCUUUGAUACUGGGGAUCUCGAGUCCGGAAGAGGUGAGUGGAACUCCGAGUGUAGAGGUGAAAUUCGUAGAUAUUCGGAAGAACACCAGUGGCGAAGGCGGCUCACUGGUCCGGUACUGACGCUGAGGUGCGAAAGCGUGGGGAGCAAACAGG
Molecule: ribosomal RNA, 253 nt
Filed under: uncultured bacterium
Lineage: Bacteria
Description: partial 16S ribosomal RNA
Rfam family: Bacterial small subunit ribosomal RNA
Source: RNAcentral